This 253-nucleotide ribosomal RNA is filed under the name uncultured bacterium. RNAcentral describes it as "partial 16S ribosomal RNA". It matches the Rfam family "Bacterial small subunit ribosomal RNA", at positions 524 to 776 of the family's 1533-position model. The record is from RNAcentral.
UACGGAGGGUGCAAGCGUUGCUCGGAAUUAUUGGGCGUAAAGGGUAGGUAGGUGGUCUCAUUUGUCAGGGGUGAAAGCCUUGGGCUUAACCCAAGAAGUGCCCCUGAAACGGUGAGACUAGAGUACUGGAGAGGUCGGUGGAAUUCCCGGUGUAGCGGUGAAAUGCGUAGAGAUCCGGAGGAACACCAGCGGCGAAGGCGGCAUCCUGGACUGGUCCUGACACUCAGGAGCGAAAGCGUGGGGAGCGAUCCGG